RNAcentral lists this transfer RNA (75 nucleotides) under Asanoa ishikariensis. RNAcentral's name for it is "tRNA_Val_GAC". It matches the Rfam family "tRNA". From Rfam's summary of the family: Transfer RNA (tRNA) molecules are approximately 80 nucleotides in length. Their secondary structure includes four short double-helical elements and three loops (D, anti-codon, and T loops). Further hydrogen bonds mediate the characteristic L-shaped molecular structure. tRNAs have two regions of fundamental functional importance: the anti-codon, which is responsible for specific mRNA codon recognition, and the 3' end, to which the tRNAs corresponding amino acid is attached (by aminoacyl-tRNA synthetases). tRNAs cope with the degeneracy of the genetic code in two manners: having more than one tRNA (with a specific anti-codon) for a particular amino acid; and 'wobble' base-pairing, i.e. permitting non-standard base-pairing at the 3rd anti-codon position. The record is from RNAcentral. Lineage: Bacteria; Bacillati; Actinomycetota; Actinomycetes; Micromonosporales; Micromonosporaceae.
GUUCCGGUAGCUCAGCCUGGUAGAGCGCCCGCUCGACAUGCGGGAGGUUCGGGGGUUCGAACCCCUCCCGGAACA